UGGGGAAUAUUGCACAAUGGGCGCAAGCCUGAUGCAGCCAUGCCGCGUGUGUGAAGAAGGCCUUCGGGUUGUAAAGCACUUUUGUCCGGAAAGAAAUCCUUGGCUCUAAUACAGUCGGGGAUGACGGUACCGGAAGAAUAAGCACCGGCUAACUACGUGCCAGCAGCCGCGGUAAUACGUAGGGUGCAAGCGUUAAUCGGAAUUACUGGGCGUAAAGCGUGCGCAGGCGGUUUGCUAAGACCGAUGUGAAAUCCCCGGGCUCAACCUGGGAACUGCAUUGGUGACUGGCAGGCUAGAGUAUGGCAGAGGGGGGUAGAAUUCCACGUGUAGCAGUGAAAUGCGUAGAGAUGUGGAGGAAUACCGAUGGCGAAGGCAGCCCCCUGGGCCAAUACUGACGCUCAUGCACGAAAGCGUGGGGAGCAAACAGGAUUAGAUACCCCUGGUAGUCCACGCCCUAAAGCGAUGUCAACUAGUUGUUGGGGAUUCAUUUCCUUAGUAACGUAGCUAACGCGUGAAGUUGACCGCCU
RNAcentral lists this ribosomal RNA (527 nucleotides) under uncultured bacterium. RNAcentral describes it as "partial 16S ribosomal RNA". It matches the Rfam family "Bacterial small subunit ribosomal RNA", at positions 355 to 874 of the family's 1533-position model. The record is from RNAcentral.